GGGAAACAGGUUAAUAUUCCUGUACUUGGUGUUACUGCGAAGGGGGGACGGAGAAGGCUAUGUUGGCCGGGCGACGGUUGUCCCGGUUUAAGCGUGUAGGCUGGUUUUCCAGGCAAAUCCGGAAAAUCAAGGCUGAGGCGUGAUGACGAGGCACUACGGUGCUGAAGCAACAAAUGCCCUGCUUCCAGGAAAAGCCUCUAAGCAUCAGGUAACAUCAAAUCGUACCCCAAACCGACACAGGUGGUCAGGUAGAGAAUACUAAGGCGAUCGAGAGAAUCAUGGUUAAGGAACUCGGCAAAAUGACCCCGUAACUUCGGGAGAAGGGGUGCUCUUUAGGGUUAACGCCCAGAAGAGCCGCAGUGAAUAGGCCCAAGCGACUGUUUAUCAAAAACACAGGUCUCUGCUAAACCGUAAGGUGAUGUAUAGGGGCUGACGCCUGCCCGGUGCUGGAAGGUUAAGAGGAGUGGUUAGCUUCU
This 476-nucleotide ribosomal RNA is filed under the name Xanthomonas citri pv. citri. RNAcentral's name for it is "partial 23S ribosomal RNA". It matches the Rfam family "Bacterial large subunit ribosomal RNA", at positions 1420 to 1898 of the family's 2925-position model. The record is from RNAcentral. Lineage: Bacteria; Pseudomonadati; Pseudomonadota; Gammaproteobacteria; Lysobacterales; Lysobacteraceae.